CAAUGNGACCCCAGGUCAGGCGGGGCUACCCGCUGAGNUUAAGCAUAUCAAUAAGCGGAG
Molecule: ribosomal RNA, 60 nt
Filed under: Ficus scott-elliotii
Lineage: Eukaryota; Viridiplantae; Streptophyta; Magnoliopsida; Rosales; Moraceae
Description: partial 28S ribosomal RNA
Source: RNAcentral